RNAcentral lists this long non-coding RNA (1013 nucleotides) under Gallus gallus (chicken). RNAcentral describes it as "long non-coding RNA NONGGAT005013". Lineage: Eukaryota; Metazoa; Chordata; Aves; Galliformes; Phasianidae. The record is from RNAcentral.
AUUACUUGUUUGUCUAACAGCGAGUACCUAAGAGAGAUGGCUGCUUUCUCUUCACUACUGGGGUUUUCUACCCUAAAGACUAGUCAUCUCAGUUGCCAUUCCAUUCACUUCCAUCGAAGUUGUCCCUGGGAAAUAGCAAAAAGAACCCUUAGUGCAACUGUAUUCCCAACUUCUGGUGUAUCUUUCCAAUAAUGAGACACUAAUCACAGAAGGGAAGAAGUCAGCCUACUGGAAUUCUUACAUUAGCCUUGUCUAUCCUGAAUCUUUUCACUGAUGCAAUUUCUGCAGCUUGUUCCAAGUGUAAAACUAUCACAGUAGUGAUUUGAAACCAGUGCUUAACCGAGUCAAGCCCUGAUUUGCAUGAAGUGAGACGGAUCGCAGCCAUGCGAUGUCAGGUGUUGGUGUGUGAUGUGUGGUCUCCUAAGAUUCGUGAUUGCAGGCAGAGACCUGAGCAUUGUUAGCAGGGUAAGAGACCUCUUUUCUGCUACUCAUCAUAUGUAUUUAAGAUGAAGUGCAGACGUUCUGCCUUACACAGUCUCUGCUCAAGUAGUGGCAGUUGCUCACUCCCAAUGGAGAGUUUAGGUUUGACGGUACUUAAUCAUAGUUUCACUGUUGAUUCUGGUUUUAACACUACAGAGCAGUUGAUAUCCCUUCCUUCGUUGUUUUGCUACUUUGUUUUGCAUCUGGGACAAAGACUUCAUCUUCGUACUUCUUGAAUAGGGUGUAGAAAGUGACUUUUCUCCUGUGAAUGUCUCAGAAUGGAUAGAGGUUGUGUUGAUACCAGCUCUGUAUUGAUACCAGCAAUUUGGGGAGGUUGGAGUGUGUACUGUAACACUUACUUUGGCUGGCCAGAUCCUCACAAAUAGAAAUAAACAUCAUCCUCCUUCCCCCCCCUCCCCAUUUAGGGCAGUACUUGCACUUUGUUUUGUAGUCUCCCUUGGUCUGAGUUGUUCACAGCUACUAGACUUUAAGGAACCACUUGGAUCUGGGAUGUGUGGAAGACUUGACAAUCA